This 171-nucleotide ribosomal RNA is filed under the name Russula sp. Its description in RNAcentral is "partial large subunit ribosomal RNA". It matches the Rfam family "Eukaryotic large subunit ribosomal RNA", at positions 99 to 261 of the family's 3401-position model. Lineage: Eukaryota; Fungi; Basidiomycota; Agaricomycetes; Russulales; Russulaceae. The record is from RNAcentral.
CGGGAAAAGCUCAAAUUUAAAAUCCGGUGGCCCUUCCGCCAUCCGAGUUGUAAUUUAGAGAAGCGUCUUCCGCGCUGGACCGUGCAUAAGUCUCCUGGAACGGAGCGUCAUAGAGGGUGAGAAUCCCGUCUUUGGCACGGACCCCCAGGGCUUCUGUGAUGCGCUCUCGAA